This 298-nucleotide ribosomal RNA is filed under the name uncultured Sphingomonadaceae bacterium. RNAcentral's name for it is "partial 16S ribosomal RNA". It matches the Rfam family "Bacterial small subunit ribosomal RNA", at positions 111 to 426 of the family's 1533-position model. The record is from RNAcentral. Lineage: Bacteria; Pseudomonadati; Pseudomonadota; Alphaproteobacteria; Sphingomonadales; Sphingomonadaceae.
UAACGCGUGGGAAUCUGCCCAUCAGUGGGGAAUAACGACGGGAAACUGUCGCUAAUACCGCAUACGCCCUUAGGGAGAAAGAUUUAUCGCUGAUAGAGGAGCCCGCGUACGAUUAGCUAGUUGGUGAGGUAAUGGCUCACCAAGGCUACGAUCUUAGGCUGGUCUGAGAGGAUGAUCAGCCACACUGGGACUGAGACACGGCCCAGACUCCUACGGGAGGCAGCAGUGGGGUUUAUUGGACAAUGGGGGAAACCCUGAUCCAGCAAUGCCGCGUGAGUGAUGAAGGCCUUAGGGUUGU